UCCACGUUGCCCGGUUGGAAAGGUCUUACGUGGGUCAAGAUAGAACUACAGAGCAGUGGGACCUUGGAAGGGUUCUGCCAUCCGCUCCUCUUCCAUUAUUACCUACAUGAGAAGCCUGAGGACGUGAAGUGUUAACGUUUGUGUGGAGCAUAGCGAACAUGUCUUCACACCAACAUGUCUUUACCAUCGCGAGGAUUCGAGGGUCUUGAGUUCACGGUCCACUGACGCAUCUCUUUGCUCAGCAUUACCCUCCUCUCUGUACAAUCUCUAUACAUUCCUUGUGGCUGUUGGAGGAGGGGUAAUGUUUGGAAUGUGCGUGGUCCUCACACACCCACUACCCGGUUCAUCGGCUAGCUUCAAUAUGGUUGCAUGCGGGAUAUCAUGAGAGUAGUCUUCCUGAGUGGGACUGGUGGAGACCAUGGUUCAAGAGGACAAGCUGUUAGCUUACAGACAAUUCCGCUAAGCGCUUCCCAACAGCUACCUAGCAACAGUUGCGUCAUCACCUGCCGCCAUUACUACCCGCGCCCACCACUGGCCAGGUGCAGGUGACCUGGCAGCAUGCCUACGCCUGGUUCUCAGUACCCUGGCAGCACGAGCACCGACAAAUGGAGGUCCCACUGAGAUCGGGAAAGUGAAGAAUUCCUGAUGGGGUCGUCCAAGGAGCUGGCGAGCAAACUGAAGGGACGUAUUGGGUAAAAUGGGCCACAAAGUUGGAGCCCCAGUAAGCAGUGAGUAAAAGGACACCAUGGGAAUUGAAAGCACAUGCAAAGAAAAAUAAAGUUUUGGGCUCUUAAACCUC
Long non-coding RNA from Rattus norvegicus (Norway rat), 799 nucleotides. RefSeq lists it as uncharacterized. The record is from RefSeq and is a predicted model, not a curated record. NCBI's taxonomy places the organism in Eukaryota, Metazoa, Chordata, Mammalia, Rodentia, Muridae.